RNAcentral lists this ribosomal RNA (446 nucleotides) under uncultured bacterium. Its description in RNAcentral is "partial 16S ribosomal RNA". It matches the Rfam family "Bacterial small subunit ribosomal RNA", at positions 330 to 792 of the family's 1533-position model. The record is from RNAcentral.
UCCAGACUCCUACGGGAGGCAGCAGUGGGGGAUAUUGCACAAUGGGGGGAACCCUGAUGCAGCGACGCCGCGUGGGUGAAGGAGCGUUUCGGCGCGUAAAGCCCUAUCGGCAGGGAAGAAGGAGGACGGUACCUGACUAAGAAGCCCCGGCUAACUACGUGCCAGCAGCCGCGGUAAUACGUAGGGGGCAAGCGUUAUCCGGAUUUACUGGGUGUAAAGGGGGCGCAGACGGCAGCGCAAGCCAGGAGUGAAAGCCCGGGGCCCAACCCCGGGACUUCUCUUGGAACUGCGUGGCUGGAGUGCAGGAGGGGCAGGCGGAAUUCCUGGUGUAGCGGUGAAAUGCGUAGAUAUUAGGAGGAACACCAGUGGCGAAGGCGGCCUGCUGGACGACAACUGACGGUGAGGCGCGAAAGCGUGGGGAGCAAACAGGAUUAGAUACCCCAGUA